Molecule: ribosomal RNA, 497 nt
Filed under: uncultured bacterium
Lineage: Bacteria
Description: partial 16S ribosomal RNA
Rfam family: Bacterial small subunit ribosomal RNA
Source: RNAcentral
GAUGAACGCUGGCGGCGUGCCUAAUACAUGCAAGUCGAGCGAACGGACGAGAAGCUUGCUUCUCUGAUGUUAGCGGCGGACGGGUGAGUAACACGUGGAUAACCUACCUAUAAGACUGGGAUAACUUCGGGAAACCGGAGCUAGUACCGGAUAAUAUUUUGAACCGCAUGGUUCAAAAGUGAAAGACGGUCUUGCUGUCACUUAUAGAUGGAUCCGCGCUGCAUUAGCUAGUUGGUAAGGUAACGGCUUACCAAGGCAACGAUGCAUAGCCGACCUGAGAGGGUGAUCGGCCAUACUGGAACUGAGACACGGUCCAGACUCCUACGGGAGGCAGCAGUAGGGAAUCUUCCGCAAUGGGCGAAAGCCUGACGGAGCAACGCCGCGUGAGUGAUGAAGGUCUUCGGAUCGUAAAACUCUGUUAUUAGGGAAGAACAUAUGUGUAAGUAACUGUGCACAUCUUGACGGUACCUAAUCAGAAAGCCACGGCUAACUACGUG